RNAcentral lists this transfer RNA (68 nucleotides) under Marmota monax (woodchuck). RNAcentral's name for it is "tRNA.Ala". The record is from RNAcentral. Lineage: Eukaryota; Metazoa; Chordata; Mammalia; Rodentia; Sciuridae.
GGGUUGUGGCUCAGCGGCAAAGCGCUCGCGUCGCACGUGCAAGACCCUGGGUUCGAUCCUCAGCCUCA